Molecule: long non-coding RNA, 465 nt
Organism: Vicia villosa (hairy vetch)
Lineage: Eukaryota; Viridiplantae; Streptophyta; Magnoliopsida; Fabales; Fabaceae
Exons: 2
Source: RefSeq, a predicted model, not a curated record
GACAGCAUGAGUUUUGUAUUUAUAAAGUGAUCAAAUCAUUUUCUACUUACUACCUAAAAAAAAGAAGAAAAAUAUGGCUAUGUUUUUCCAUGCCUUGGUCUUUUUUCUAUCCCUCAUUAUUUUUGCAAUAGAAAAUAAGGUUUUUGCUGCAUGUAAUUAUGACAAGGAUUGUCCAGCUUGUUAUUCAGCUUUUGUUAGAAUGUGUGUUAACCAAAAAUGUCGAUGUGUUAAUUGGGAUGAUGUUAUGGCUUAAUUAAGAUGAUUGUAAUGAAAAUAAAUAAAUAUAACAAAUAAUAUUACUUAAAUUAUCUCCUUCUAUCAUAAUAUAUAUUUUUUUUGGGGAGGGGUGGUAUAACUAUAGUUUUGAAUCGAAGCAUAGCGUUAUCCCUUCAAUAAUCUCAUAAUGUAAUAUUUAAGUAAAAAAAUAAUAUUUGUAUUACAUAUAAACCUAUAGUUUUAUUUUCA